AGUUGCAGCCAAAGCUGAGAGCCACUGCUUCAAGCAAGUGGGAAUGCUCGUGUGUGAGAGGAUUUUUUUCCUCUCUAUUCCAGGCUUCCUUUAUUGAAUGUAUCUGCUGUACUGGAAAUUACUCUGGGAAAUUGUUAUGUAAAUAACCAUGUGUGCUGCUCACCUUGGCACUUGAACCUCCGACUCCAAGUAGGGUCUGAGAACCACCAGAGCUGGUUAGAAAGGCAGAGUUUCCCGCCCCACUCAGAUCCCAGGCAUGACGCCUGGGUGAUCUGCAGGAGUGUUGCAGGCUGAGACCCCUGAGCUAGACUGGAGUUGCCCUGUGGAAAGCAGCUCCACUCACCAGAAGCCUGUGAACCAGAGGGCCUGCUGUGUGCCUGCUUCUUACUUCAUCUCAGUCCCAGAGGCACGGUCAGCCUGGCUUCUAUGCCUCUGUGUGCUGCUUCCCCAGCGGAUGGCUGCCUACCUCUCAAAGGAGCCUUCAGGGGCCCCUACAGUACCAUUUUCAAACACCAGUUAGUCAAUAUUUUAAGCUGGGGGGUCCCAAAUUGGUGGAAAUCUGUCUGGCUGUCUUCCCCUGAUGCGAUAAGAAGCAGGAAAACAAACAAACAGAAACAACAACAACAAAAAAAACAGAAAUGUAAUUUUAUUUCUAUAGAUGACAAACAUUGUCAGAAAUGGUUCUUUUCUUCUUUGUUUUGGAUUCAAUAAAGAGUGGGGGAAUAUCGGAAAUGAAGGCCCUGAGAGAUGAGCCAAAUCAUCCAAAUGUAUAUGAGCAAGGUAUGGGUGAGUCUGUCACUUCAGGGGCCUGUGGGAACUGAGCUGGAUGAAUGCAGAGCGAAGAGUCAGAAAUCCCACAGCUGCCAGUGAUGAACUGUUAGCUGUCCUUGGACUGUGUCGGCGCAUCUAGCUCCACCAUCAAACAGGGUCACAACUUGCUCCAUUAAUGACCAGUUCACAGUGCGCAUCUGUUUCAGGCAAGGUGUGCUCGUUACCUUAACAGAAGGUUUACCUUGUAAACGUUUCUCACAAGGAAAAACAAACGACCAAAUAACCUCAUAUUUUUGUGAUGAGUAGAUUUUUUUGGAUCAUCAGCCCUGCCCUUUCUCCAUUACCAAGUUCACGGCAAGGCUGACAUUCCAGGGCAAACACCCGCCUUCUUGGCGCCCACGAGCAGCGGACUCCUCAUUCUGCUUUAGUUUACUGCUUCCGCAUUAACUCGUCCACUGGCUCCCUUAUUCAUUUGUUCAACAGACAAUUAUUAUCUACUGUGUUGGCAACAGUGCUGGGCACUGGGUCUUCCUGUUCUUAGCUAUGUAGAAUUCAGAGAAGAACACAGUGCAUAGAUUGCCUAGGAGUGGAGAAAAGCUUGAUGUGGCAACUUCCAGAUCCUAUCAUAGGAGAUGGAGCCGCAUGUCCCUCCAAG
RNAcentral lists this long non-coding RNA (1426 nucleotides) under Homo sapiens (human). RNAcentral describes it as "non-protein coding lnc-WISP3-6:1". The record is from RNAcentral. Lineage: Eukaryota; Metazoa; Chordata; Mammalia; Primates; Hominidae.